This is a long non-coding RNA of Glycine soja, 2534 nucleotides long. RefSeq lists it as uncharacterized. The transcript is spliced from 3 exons. The record is from RefSeq and is a predicted model, not a curated record. Lineage: Eukaryota; Viridiplantae; Streptophyta; Magnoliopsida; Fabales; Fabaceae.
UGAAAUAAAAGUAGAAAUUAAACCAUAAAUUCUUUGCUUUAAGAACGCAACCACAGAAAAUGCAAAACCUUUCGUCCAAACUUCUUCCUUAUAUGGUUCUGGUAUCACAUGACAGUGAAACUAACUAUAAAGGGCAUUUGACACCAAAGCACACAUAGCAACAUCGCAACGUCCAAUAAACACGGCCGAGUCUGAAAAUAGGGUUUGACUUUGAUUUGAUCACGCAACAAACACGGAUAAAGGACAAGGUCUAAAGGGGGGAAGAAAACGACGCCGUAGCGCAGUAGAAUAGAUCAAGACGAAGGAUGGUGCUGAACAUCAACGUGGUGGCGAAAGUGGUGCACGCAUCGGCGCAUUUUUGGCAAUUCAUCGCUUGCAAUCCCGAGAGGUUGAGCAGCGACGUCGUUUUGCACCUCCUCUUCUGCCUCCCUUUCCAGCGCUUGUUUCGUUCACUCUCCACCUACCUUGGCUAUCGUCAUCCACACUCCGAUUGAAAUUUCAAAUUCCCAUUCAUAUUCUCUCUCUUUCUCUCUAUCUAUGUAUGUAUUUGUUUGUCAAAGGCCGUUCGUGCUUAUGUCUCUUUCUAGGUUUUUGUUUAAUACAUUCUAUUUGACGUUGUUUCUGUAUGCAUUGCUGAAUUAGUUUUGUAAAUUGAACUAUCCAAUAGGAUUGACCUAGUAUACUGUUGUUUUAAAUUGGAGAUGGUAGUAAUGUGAAAUUAGUUUUACUUUUUAUUUUUUAAGGAGGUGCUAUUAUUUUUGUUGUGAGAUGAAAUCCCAGAACAGCACUAAACAACCUUAACCUUAUUAUAAACUCUUCAUGUUUUUUUUUUCUUUUAAUGAAUUUAGAAAGAACAACUAUUGUACCUGAUAUUUGGCUAGUGGCCAUAAUUGUGGUUAUAUUUAUUUAUUGAUUGCUGCAAAAGUUGGAAGAUAGUAUUAUAGUGAAGAUCUUUGACGAAGGAUCCUCUAAUGGUGACAUGCAUGAUUUUUAUGUAUCAGAGUGAUUAAAAAAGUCAUUGGCCUUAACUUUAAUUAGUAAAAUUGUUUUCUCUCUUUCAUUUUUUUUAGUUUUGGGUGAGUCAUAAUUGAGUAAUGAAGUAGGAUGAGUUUUUUUUUUCUUUUAAAAUCUGUACCUUCCUUCUCUUGUCCUGUUCAUGAUUUUCCUUUAUUCAGAUGGUAUGUAAUUGUAGUUCAGCUCUUUACACACAAAAAAGGCGCUUGGGUACUCAAUAUUCAUGGGUGGUGAAGCAAGAAAGGUUACACUACACUCGUUCCAGUCACUAGUUCUACUUCUAGCAUCCUCCUCUUUGCGGUUAAGGUCUUGAACUCCGAUUUUCUUCUUCUUUUUCCUGGUUUGUAUUUGGUUCAUCUUGGCCUUUAUGUUGGUUGUCAUCUAUUUAAAGCUUUACUUUUGUAGUUGGUUUUUGUGUAUAUUGCUUUGUACUGAAAAAAUGAAAAAAAACAUGACCUUUGUCUUAUUUUGAUUUUCAUUUGGUUUGGUUGUAUGUUGCUUUGGACUGAAAACAAAUGUGACCUUUGUCUCAUUCUCAUUUUGUUGACUACUGUUUAACUUCUUCUAUAUCCAGCUCUCGAACUGUCAUUUCGUUCUUCUUUUACCAGGUUUGUAUUUGGUUUUUGUGUUUCUGUCCGUUUUGAUUGAUGUCUAAAAAUCUUUUACCUUUGUAUUUGAUUCUUUUUUUAUUCCCUCUAUUUUUGUCCAUCCUUCUUUUCUGUUACCCUUUACCUUUUUCUUGGGUUUUAGUGACGUGUGUUGCUAUUUUCUUCUCUUAUCCAGGUUUCUAUUUUCCUGCAACUUUCUUUUCCGGAUUGCUCCUGUUUGCCACUGUUUGCAAAACCAAAAAGGUUCGCUAAUGUCUGCUGCUAUUUUGUUCUAACCACGUUUUGAGCUACGCAUUUGCUCUUCUUUUUCCAUUCCUUUCAUUGACCAAGUUUGUAUUUGGUUCCUUUUGAUUCUCUGCCCAUUUGUUUGUUGGUUUUAAAAAACGUCUCUGUUCACAAAAUGAAUGAUGCAACUACACUAUUUUUGGAUUUCCGUCUGACUAUGUUUUCCAUAGUCAAUACUAUUUUGUCUUCUACUAUUUCCCUGUUUUUUGCUGUUUUAUUCUGAAGAUAAAGGUUUUCGAUAUUGGUAUUGUUCCCCUUAUUUGCUCCUGUUUGUCACUGUUUUUUGCAAAAACAAAAAGGUUUUUGAUGUUGGUAUUAAUCCCACUAUUUGCUCCUACUUGAAUGUGCUUCUUAUUUUCUCUGUAUUUGUCUGUGUUUUUGUCAUUCCCAGUGGUCUUUAUUAUCUGUGUUGUAGCCAUGUCUCGGAAAGAAAAUCUCAUAUCUGAGUUACACAUAAGAAAAGGAACAUGAAAAAUAGUUGUCCGUAUCACUGAUCUUUGGCAAGCUCGGAAGCAAAAUAGUAAACAAGUAAUUGAGAUGGUGUUGAUGGACUAAACGGUUAUUGUUGUGUUCUUUCUGUUUGUUGUUAUUACUCAUUUGUAUUGUAUGUGAUGUCACUUCAUUUUA